This is a long non-coding RNA of Hemicordylus capensis (graceful crag lizard), 483 nucleotides long. RefSeq lists it as uncharacterized. Lineage: Eukaryota; Metazoa; Chordata; Lepidosauria; Squamata; Cordylidae. The record is from RefSeq and is a predicted model, not a curated record. The transcript is spliced from 3 exons.
GCCAGCCAGGAAGGAGGAGGCAGCCAGAGUGGCCACCACUGUUCUCUGCAGCAGAAGACCCCUUGCUGCCCUGCCGAAUCCAGCAUUUGCCAGAAAUGAGGGCCCUUCAAAUGGAAGAACAAUAUCUACAUUCUGCCAGAAGUCAGGGCAUAUAAAACAAUGUCAAGGCACAAGGCACUAAUGAGGAGUGAGGCCUUGUGUGAAGAAUUUGUACUUCAAAGCAAACAAUUUGUAAGACUGAAUCAGAAAUAAGUCUUUGUAAACAACAAUUUCUUCAAUAGAAGCAGUAUUUUUCUAGUGCUUCCAAAGUACUAGAUAUUGCAGCAAAUACAGCUUUUUAUAUUAUUUUCAGAGAACCAUCUGAAAGGGUGACGGAGAAUAGGAGAAGCAGAAAACAAUUUCACUUGUACAGUAUAGACUUCCCAGCUCCACUGAAACGUGAGUCUAUAGAACCCAGUGGCAGAAUAAAGAAUAGCAUUCAAU